UACAGAGGUCCCAAGCGUUGUUCGGAUUCACUGGGCGUAAAGGGUGCGUAGGUGGCUGGGAAAGUUUGAUGUGAAAGCUCAGGGCUUAACCCUGAAAUGGCAUUGAAUACUCUCCAGCUGGAGGUUUGGAGGGGGGACUGGAAUUCUUGGUGUAGCAGUGAAAUGCGUAGAUAUCAAGAGGAACACCAGUGGCGAAGGCGAGUCCCUGGACAACACCUGACACUGAGGCACGAAAGCUAGGGGAGCAAACAGG
RNAcentral lists this ribosomal RNA (253 nucleotides) under uncultured bacterium. RNAcentral's name for it is "partial 16S ribosomal RNA". It matches the Rfam family "Bacterial small subunit ribosomal RNA", at positions 524 to 776 of the family's 1533-position model. The record is from RNAcentral.